CGGAGGAUCCAAGCGUUAUCCGGAUUUAUUGGGUUUAAAGGGUGCGUAGGCGGCUUAUUAAGUCAGGGGUGAAAGACGGUGGCUCAACCAUCGCAGUGCCCUUGAUACUGAUGAGCUUGAAUGGACUAGAGGUAGGCGGAAUGUGACAAGUAGCGGUGAAAUGCAUAGAUAUGUCACAGAACACCGAUUGCGAAGGCAGCUUACUAUGGUUUAAUUGACGCUGAGGCACGAAAGCGUGGGGAUCAAACAGGAUUAGAUACCCUGGUAGUCCACGCCCUAAACGAUGAAUACUCGCUGUUAGCGAUAUACAGUUAGCGGCUAAGCGAAAGCGUUAAGUAUUCCACCUGGGGAUACGCCCGCAAGGGUG
RNAcentral lists this ribosomal RNA (367 nucleotides) under uncultured organism. Its description in RNAcentral is "bacterial SSU rRNA". It matches the Rfam family "Bacterial small subunit ribosomal RNA", at positions 526 to 896 of the family's 1533-position model. The record is from RNAcentral.